Molecule: non-coding RNA, 206 nt
Organism: Oryza nivara
Lineage: Eukaryota; Viridiplantae; Streptophyta; Magnoliopsida; Poales; Poaceae
Source: Rfam
GAAAAGUAAAGGUACUACCUCAUAUUUAACGAUUGACCGUCCGUCUUAUUUGAAAAAUUUAUGAAAAAAUUAAAAAUAUUUAGUCACAUAUAAAGUACUAUUCAUAUUUUAUCAUCUAAUAUCAAUAAAAAUACUAAUCAUAAAAAAUUUUCAAAUAAGACGGACGGUCAAACGUUGAACGUGAAUAAUGUAAAACUGCACUUAUU